This is a long non-coding RNA of Peromyscus californicus insignis, 2343 nucleotides long. RefSeq lists it as uncharacterized. Lineage: Eukaryota; Metazoa; Chordata; Mammalia; Rodentia; Cricetidae. The transcript has 5 exons. The record is from RefSeq and is a predicted model, not a curated record.
UUGUGUGGGCUCCAGUGUCUCCUGCAGGGUUCUCUGACAAGUCAGAACGCUGAGAUCUCUUUCCUCCUCUGCCUACCGCCAAGCUUCAGCCCUUUGCUUCUCCUCGUGUGAGAUUCCCAGAGAAGUUUCAACAGUCUGAUAGCCAAAGGGAAGGGUACAAUUGUUUCUCUUUAGAGUAUUUUUAUUCCUGCCAGGAUGAACGGGCAAGACAUGGCUGAGAAACAGAGAGCCACCAGGCUGAGAGGUGCCGCCAGGUGCCAGGACAAGCUUUAAGAAGGCCGAAGCCAGGAUUCUCUGCUUAGAGGCUCCAGGUCUGGAAUGGAAAGUGACAUGGCCACACCUCAAUAAACGUAGUUUUGGAGCGGAGCCAGGUCAAACACGUCUGAGCAGCUCAAAGGCCGUGUUGUUCAGGAAGUCCCUCAGAGGUAAGGGAUGGCUGCAUGAAGUAGACUGGGCAAGCUCAGGGCCAGUCUCAGGAACAUGUGGCUGCUGUCUUGACAUUACUGAUCACUUCCCAUCAGGUGUCAUUUUGUACAAGAGUGUCCCCUCCCCACAUGAUGUCCGCUGUCCUGGCAGAGCUCAGCAAAUCAGCCUGCCUCACCAAGGAGAGAUGGUUCAGACACUGGAAACCUUAAAGCAACUGAAACUGUUGGUGUUGAGAUGAUUGACACCAAUUGUCAACUUGACAGGAUCUACAGUCACUUAGGAGACAGUCUGGGCAUGCCUGUGAGGAAUUUUCUAGACUGGGUUCAUUGAAAUGACAAGACUCACCCUUAAGGUAUGCUGUGCCACUCUACAGGCUGGGCACCCUGGACUGCAUGUAAAGGAGAACCUGGACUAAACAUCGUCAGUCCCCACCUCCUCUCUCCUCUCUCUUCCCCCAUCUCUCUCCCGCCCUCCUCAGCCAUGAAUGUGAUAUAUCCAUUUGCCUCAUCUCCUGGUACCAUGACUUCCCCGCCAUGAUGGACACUACCACAGAGCAGUGAGCCAAACAGACCCUUCUUUCCUUAAGUUGCUUUGUACCAGAAAUUGUGUUGGCAAUGGAAGAAGGAACUAAUACAGAUGCCUCACAGCUCUGGGAUCCCGAGAAGACUUGUGAUCAUCAGGGAAUGGUGGAACCAGCCAGUGAGUGCUAGAGCUGCCUGGAGGAUGUGGGAAACACUUAACCCCAUCAGUGCUGGAUACAUACCCAGGAGUAAGCUUGCUGGCUCAUAGGGUCUCAACUCAUAGCUCCGUCUGGCCUCCAUCAUGUGGUAAUCCUGGGAUUACAGGAGUCUGGCACCGUGCCUAGUUCCCUUCGUUACUUAGAUAACCAUUCUAACAGGCUUGCCUCGCCUGGCGGCUUGAUUUCAGUACCCAGUCUGACCUUGAAGUGAUACGACCUUCGACUUGAAGACUUGAAGAUACAGAGCUUCCAGAAAUGGCCUUUUAAAUGGAUGGGGUCUGUUCAUCUCUUUGGAAUUAAUAGCUUUUCUUUUCUGGAUGUUCAGUGCUGAGGGGAAAGGCAAUGUCUCAACAGAUAGCUACUACAGCAGACCAACACUUCAGCUUUUCAAGGAAGCUCCAUGAAUUUGCUGCAAACACUCACCGUACCUCCUGGGAAGACAAGCUUGAAUUCUCUGUUCUUUUCUGUUACAUCAUGAUUCACACCUUGUAUGCAGUGCGAUGGUGAAGGGCUGCUGGUUCCUGCCUGGCUCCGUAAGCAAGAGCUUGUUGAGACUGGAAUCAGAAUUGCUUUGUUUCUGAAACAGGGUCUCAUACGAUAGCUCACGUUGGCCUGUGCUUCCCUGUGUAGCCCAGGCUAGCCUUCAAGUCCAGAUUCUCCUGCCUCAGUCUCUCAAGUGCUUGGAUUACAGGUGUGUGGUAUGAUGCCUUGCUCCUAAAAAUCAAAUUUGUGAAGGAGGCUGUUUCGGGAACAGAACCUGGGUUUGGAGGGACAUGAGUGACCAUGACAAAAGGAAUCUGGUCUGGAGAGGCUCACUGGAACUUCCUUGUCUGUAUGUAAUGGGCAUCAUGCUUGCGCACAGGGGGCACUUUGUGCACAUUUGUUGAGAGUCGUAUGGAUGAGAUGUCACAUGGCAUGUGGCGACAGUGGCCGACUGCCUUUACAAGUGCCAUUUGGCAGGUGUUCUGGUUUCCUUUCUGUUGCUGUGAUUAAAAACAAAACAAAACAAAACAAAAACCACUGUGUUCUGGUUUCCUUUCCAUUCAAACCUGGGAAAGAGUUCACCCGGCUUAAGCUUCCAGGUCACAGUCUGUCACUGAAGGAAGCCAGAGCAGCAACUCAGAGGCAGAAACAUGGAAGAAUGCUGCUCACUAGUUCACUCACUGGCUUAUGCUCAA